CUUUCUUGAAGGUGUUCAGCUCAUCUAGUAUUACCCUGAUGAAUUGUUGCAGUGACAGGUUAUGGAUUCAAAUGCAAGUUUAGUGGCCAUUAAAAUAAACGGUUUUACAAGGUGGGGAACGGAAAUCAGAGAAUCACAAGGAAGGUUGGUGACGCGCGCAGUGAAGCUUCCACUCUUUUUUACUUUGAUGACUGGGCCUCUUUGAAUAGAAAGUAGGGGCUUCUUUUUACAUACCCCUUUUUUCUCUUUGUCUUCACAUUGCUCGUCCUUGUUUGACAAAAAUAUUCUAGUCUAUGUAAGACCCAAUACUGCAGCGAUAUUACGAAAAUUAGUCUAUGUAAUUUAUGUAAUGCAUGAAAAAAUUACAUUUCAAAAACAAGAUUUUGUAAUGUACUCAUAUAGCUAGUUAAGUGGAGUUAGGGAGGACUUCAGAUGUGUCUAUAUGUAUGAGAAUCAUAACAUUACGCAUACAUUGCUUGAUCUCAGAAUCUUUUAAAAGUCAUGUUUGGUCCUUGGGUCAGGUGGGCUACACACAAAUCGCUUGGAUCAGUUACUAAGAAACUUUGCACAUGUGUUAAGCUUAAGUCACCGUAUUGGAUUAAGACACGUGCAAUGGGUUCAAAACAAAACGAAUGAAGACAUAUAUGGCCACUAUCUAGUACUAUGUUUCCUUUUCCAAUCCUCACUAAGAAGGAGGGAUGAAACACGAUGGCACCCACAAAAAUUGCAUAUUUUCAAUUCCCU
RNAcentral lists this long non-coding RNA (744 nucleotides) under Glycine max (soybean). RNAcentral's name for it is "long non-coding RNA (GMAX_LNC001621)". Lineage: Eukaryota; Viridiplantae; Streptophyta; Magnoliopsida; Fabales; Fabaceae. The record is from RNAcentral.